GAACUCAAUAGCUGUGAAGAAACUCAAGCAUUAGUGCUGCAAGUUAUACUCUCACUAAUUCAGUACAACCAAUAGUACAGGAGUUAGAAAACUUUCCUGGACUUUGCAUGAUUCAUCAGGUGUUGAUCAAAUGAAAAUGCAUCGUUGGCUAUCACAUUUUGAAGACCCUUGAAGUUUGCUGCAGUGAAGAUAUUAUUCAUAUCGGUGAGAAUGGAGAGUUUAAGUUGGAUAUAGAGUCCGAUGCUAUAAUCCAAAAUGUGAAACUGUUAGAGGAGCUGUUGCUUGUCUGGAAGAUAUGGAAUAAAGCAGAGGGCAUCUUAGCUCCAUCUAUGAAGAGAGAGGCCUUGGUGAGAAUAGUAUGAUUAAUUCCAUCAAGUCCUUGGCCUUUUCAUUGUUUAUUACUGUCCGAUAAUGGCAGGAGAAAUACUAAGACCUGCAACCCAACCUUCUUGUUAACUGCUUCGUUGAAAGGUCAAUUAGAGUAAUAAGCAAGGUGUUUGGGAAACCCUGCUAGCGGCUUUGGAAGUCCUCAUCCAAGCAGAUCACCACCAGCAGGUGUUUAACAUUAAGCCGUUAUUGAAAGCUCAAGUGGUUCAUCACUUUCUACUGACCUGUCAGGUUUUGCAGAUGUCCUUUUAUUUGCUUGGUUGGUAUAUUGGACUAUUUUCCAAUUUUUUUUUCUUUUUUU
Long non-coding RNA from Galeopterus variegatus (Sunda flying lemur), 688 nucleotides. RefSeq lists it as uncharacterized. The record is from RefSeq and is a predicted model, not a curated record. The transcript has 5 exons. NCBI's taxonomy places the organism in Eukaryota, Metazoa, Chordata, Mammalia, Dermoptera, Cynocephalidae.